Xenia sp. Carnegie-2017 is the source of this 157-nucleotide long non-coding RNA. RefSeq lists it as uncharacterized. Lineage: Eukaryota; Metazoa; Cnidaria; Anthozoa; Malacalcyonacea; Xeniidae. The record is from RefSeq and is a predicted model, not a curated record. The transcript is spliced from 3 exons.
UGGCAUCAACGCACAGUACAUUACACAUCUAAGGAGCACAAUGACGGCAGCACGCUACAAUAAUCUUAUUGUUAUGCAUGUAAACAAGGCCAGAACUGACGAACUGGACUUACGUUUAAUAGUUAAGGACUUUGUUCUCAAAAACGAACUUAGGGUU